RNAcentral lists this unclassified non-coding RNA (242 nucleotides) under uncultured fungus. Its description in RNAcentral is "partial contains 5.8S rRNA and ITS2". The record is from RNAcentral. Lineage: Eukaryota; Fungi.
AACGCACAUUGCGCCCCUUGGUAUUCCAUGGGGCAUGCCUGUUCGAGCGUCAUUUUGUACCCUCAAGCACUGCUUGGUGUUGGGCGUUUGUCCUGCAAAGGACUCGCCUGAAAGCGAUUGGCGGCCAACGUACUGGUGGUAGAGCGCAGCACAAUUUGCGUCUCUCCCUGCUACGUCGGCGUCCAUGAAGCCCAUUUUCAACGUUUGACCUCGGAUCAGGUAGGGAUACCCGCUGGACUUAA